CCUUGGAGACAGGAAUUCAUCCUUGAUGCUGUAACCAGUCCAGCAGGAAAGCCCUGAGAAGCCAAGGUGCCAGAAUUUUGAACUGGAAGGAAGCCUGGAUGUUAUGUAGCAUACUCUCCUCGUUUAACAGUCACUAGAUUUGAGAUAUGAAGAAAUUAGAAGAUAAAUCUAAGGUCACAGACCUCAUAUGGAGUUAUGUGAGAAAGAGAAGAGGGAAAGAAAAGAGAAAGAAAUAAAACAUUUAUAGAGUGCCUACUUCAUGCCACGUACUGUUCUAGGUAAGCCCUUUAUAAAUAUUCUCUCUUUUGAUCUUAACAGCAACUCGGUAAAGUAGGUGGUGUUAUUGUUUCUAUUUUAUUGUUGAGGCAACAGAGAUAUGCAACUAAGUGUUUGAGGCCACAUAUGAACAUAGAUCUUCCUGACUACAAGCCCAGUCUUCUAUCUUCUGUGCCCCCUAGUUUUCUACUGGGCAAACUGAAGUUAAAUGAGUUGCCUAAGGUCACACAGUUAGUAAGUGUCUGAGGACAGAUUUGAACUCAGAUCUUCUUGACUCAAGGUCCAGCACUCUUAACUCCUGCAGUUAGGUGGUACUGAGAUUGUAAAUUCAGAGUGGAGAGGGACCUUAAGAACUAUUUAGCAUUAUCAUCUCUUUAUUUGACAGAUGAAGAACUGAAUCCUAGAGAGGUAAGUGACUUGCCUAGCGUAUCAGAGAUAGUAAGAAGCAGAGCUGGGAUUUGAACCCAGAGUCUCUAACUAUAAAAUCAUAAUGCUUUCCACAGUACCAGGUGGCCAUUGCCUUUUCUGCUUACGUGGUCCAUGUAUAGUUAGGAAGUGACUCCAUAACAAAGCAAGAAAUACUGUCUUUCAGUGGUCUCAAAACCAACUUCUUUUGGU
Monodelphis domestica (gray short-tailed opossum) is the source of this 894-nucleotide long non-coding RNA. RefSeq lists it as uncharacterized. The record is from RefSeq and is a predicted model, not a curated record. NCBI's taxonomy places the organism in Eukaryota, Metazoa, Chordata, Mammalia, Didelphimorphia, Didelphidae.